This 785-nucleotide ribosomal RNA is filed under the name uncultured bacterium. RNAcentral's name for it is "bacterial SSU rRNA". It matches the Rfam family "Bacterial small subunit ribosomal RNA", at positions 46 to 831 of the family's 1533-position model. The record is from RNAcentral.
GCUUAACAUGCAGUCGAACGGUAACGCGGGGCAACCUGGCGACGAGUGGCGAACGGGUGAGUAAUAUAUCGGAACGUGCCCAGUAGUGGGGGAUAGCCCGGCGAAAGCCGGAUUAAUACCGCAUACGACCUACGGGUGAAAGCGGGGGAUCGCAAGACCUCGCGCUAUUGGAGCGGCCGAUAUCAGAUUAGGUAGUUGGUGGGGUAAAAGCCUACCAAGCCGACGAUCUGUAGCUGGUCUGAGAGGACGACCAGCCACACUGGGACUGAGACACGGCCCAGGCUCCUACGGGAGGCAGCAGUGGGGAAUUUUGGACAAUGGGCGCAAGCCUGAUCCAGCCAUGCCGCGUGCGGGAAGAAGGCCUUCGGGUUGUAAACCGCUUUUGUCAGGGAAGAAAAGUUCUGGGCUAAUACCCUGGGAUGAUGACGGUACCUGAAGAAUAAGCACCGGCUAACUACGUGCCAGCAGCCGCGGUAAUACGUAGGGUGCAAGCGUUAAUCGGAAUUACUGGGCGUAAAGCGUGCGUAGGCGGUUCGUUAAGUCAGAUGUGAAAGCCCCGGGCUUAACCUGGGAACUGCAUUUGAAACUGGCGGACUAGAGUUGAGUAGAGGGGAGUGGAAUUUCAGGUGUAGCGGUGAAAUGCGUAGAUAUCUGAAGGAACACCAGUGGCGAAGGCGACUCCCUGGACUCAAACUGACGCUGAGGUACGAAAGCGUGGGUAGCAAACAGGAUUAGAUACCCUGGUAGUCCACGCUGUAAACGAUGUCAACUAGCCGUUGGUCCUA